AGUUGACAGUUGACACUUCGAUAUAUAAGUCAUUUUGUUUGUAAGAAAUUUAUAAUUACGGCUCUGUUCAAUUCCUGAGUAAAAUUACAAUUAAUAUCAUUAUUUGCUGAUAAAAACCUCAAACAAAACUGUUGAAAGUAUGAAUGAAAAUCGAACGAAAUAAAUGAAAUAUUUUAACAAAAGGCAUCAUUUAAGAGAGUCAAAAACAUACCGAAAGAAGGGCAACAAGGAUACAAAGAUCCCAAAUUAUGUGAUAAUUAUCGUGGCAUCUUUAAUGGGAAGAAUAUAUGAAAGAAACAGGAUUAGAGAACAAAUUCAAGGCAAAAAAAAGGAAAAAAAAACAGGCUGAAUUAACAGCAGGAAGGUCGAUAAUAGAUCACAUCUACAUAAUUCAACUCCUAGAAAUGGCUUAAAGGCAGAAGUUUCCGAAAUGGAAGAUACUUUUGCUGCGGGGACAAUUUUAACCCAAAACUAUGAUUCUGCGCAAAUCACAAGUGAAACCCUUCAACUUCCAUUAGCUACCCACUGAAUACCUUGCUUAUACCAUACAAUUACAUGCACUACUACUCUUCAUGUUCUUCCUAAUAAAAGGAAAAUGGUAAAACAUCUAUUAGGACUAACAUCGACCAGUGGGGUUUUUAUAUAAGCUCCAUAAAUCGAUUUAAAUUCAUGCAUCUCUAUUUUUAUGUUUCAAUUAUCAUUAUCAUACUUUUUCUAAUUCUUUUUUUAAGAAUUAAUAACAGAUUCUCUGAAAAAUAAUUUAUGAUACUCCCAAACAAUUAAAAUUGUUUCAAAUCCUUCUAAAAGAAUCGAAAACUAUUUUCAAACCCCUUUUGCAUCAACAAAAUGGUCAAAUAUAAAUCUAAUACUUACUUCGAAUCCUCAUAGCUUCGUAAAACGAGAACGUUUUCUAAAUGAGCUCCAGGAAUACAGGGUCUUCUAGCUUUAUUACCAGUUGCAAUGAAUAAUUUAUUGUAACCAAGACAGGAAUUGUUUCUUAAAGUUACUGUUUUAUUAACAGUGUCAACAGAGGUGGCAUCUAUACCUUUUACUACGUUUAUAUUAUAUUUUUGAUAGAAAUCUUCGUUUCUAAGCAAAGCUGUAUCUAUAUUUAAACCGAUUUGUUUGCUGAGUCUCACCUAAAAUAAAUAUUAAAAAAACGCAUUCAUAUGUUUAUUUUUCCUUUUUUUUUAAAUAAAUUUUAUUAUUUCUUCAGGAAAAAAAUCGAACAUCGAUUAAAUCUUUAAAAGAAUGCAAAAAAGUGAUCAAUUAAUUAUUUUUAUUCAUAAAUCAAAUUGAUAUCUUCUUUUUAUAUUGAAGUAAUUUCAUUCAAGCUCCUUCAUAUUCUACACUGUUGGCUCCAAAAUUAAAAACGAACAAUUAAGUCAGGAAUAUAUGACCCUACAACUAAUCUCGCGGACCUAAGAGUCUCGGAACCUUUUUCCAAGAAGAAAUCAGAAAUCUAACUCAUUCUAGCAACUGGUACUAAAAAGCUCUUUCAAUAAACAAAAAGGAGCUAAAAAGAGAUACCAAUUUUAAAUAAUAAGAGAAAUGAAACAGAAAGUUUGUAAAACCACCUUAAACCUGUAAAUAUUAUAGAAAUUGAUAAUUUGAGUGAAUAAUUAUCAAUAGUAGUUGAAUAAAUGGAAUUAUGUAAUUGAAUUGAUAUUGUACUUACUCUGUCAUAAGGCAGAUAAUUUUCUUUACAUAUCAUAGUGAUAUCUCCUUCAUAAUCUUCUUGUCUAAGAGUUUCCGCACAAGUAGCAGCAGCUGGACCACCACCAAUGAUGACAAUAGAACUUUUAUCAAACUGACAUUUCCCUACCAUGUGUUUUAUCCUUUUAUUAGUGAGUAAAUCAUCUUUUUUAGCCCUGACUUUAACAUUAUCGCCUUCAAUAGUUACUUUAUAGCAAGGGAGUGAAUCAAGACCUUUAAUAAUUUAAUAAAAUAUAAAUUCAAAUAUUUUUUGUUAUAUUAUAUAAAUAAACACCUGGAUAUUCUUCAAUGUCUCCAUUUGAUAAAUUAAAGCAAGCUCCAUGCCAUGGACACCUAACUCUCCCAUUACCAAUAGCUCCAUUUACAAGCGGAGCUCCGUAAUGGGUACAUUUAGAACCUAAAGCACUUAUAAUGUUAUUUUGUUUUACAAGCAACACUUCACCUUCAUCUUGUAACUGAAAUGUUUUCAGUUUAUUUUCUUCUAAAUCACUUACUUUACAAACUACGUCUUCAACGUAAUCGUCUGACGCUGUAAUCACGGAAAGAAAGUAUAAAAAAAUAUUAUAAGUUACGAAAAA
Molecule: long non-coding RNA, 2294 nt
Organism: Diorhabda carinulata
Lineage: Eukaryota; Metazoa; Arthropoda; Insecta; Coleoptera; Chrysomelidae
Exons: 3
Source: RefSeq, a predicted model, not a curated record